Molecule: ribosomal RNA, 508 nt
Filed under: uncultured bacterium
Lineage: Bacteria
Description: partial 16S ribosomal RNA
Rfam family: Bacterial small subunit ribosomal RNA
Source: RNAcentral
GACGAACGCUGGCGGCGUGCCUAAUACAUGCAAGUCGAGCGCAGGAAGCUGACGGACCUCUUCGGAGGGAAGGCAGUGGAAUGAGCGGCGGACGGGUGAGUAACACGUAAGGAACCUGCCUCAAGGAUUGGGAUAACUCCGAGAAAUCGGAGCUAAUACCGGAUAGUUCAACGGACCGCAUGGUCCGGUGAUGAAAGGCGCUUCGGCGUCACCUUGAGAUGGCCUUGCGGUGCAUUAGCUAGUUGGUGGGGUAACGGCUCACCAAGGCGACGAUGCAUAGCCGACCUGAGAGGGUGAUCGGCCACACUGGGACUGAGACACGGCCCAGACUCCUACGGGAGGCAGCAGUAGGGAAUAUUCCACAAUGGACGAAAGUCUGAUGGAGCAACGCCGCGUGAGUGAUGAAGGUUUUCGGAUCGUAAAACUCUGUUGUAAGGGAAGAACACGUACGAGAGGGAAUGCUCGUACCUUGACGGUACCUUACGAGAAAGCCACGGCUAACUACGUG